RNAcentral lists this ribosomal RNA (878 nucleotides) under uncultured bacterium. Its description in RNAcentral is "SSU rRNA". It matches the Rfam family "Bacterial small subunit ribosomal RNA", at positions 524 to 1382 of the family's 1533-position model. The record is from RNAcentral.
UACGAACGGAGCUCGCGUUAAUCGUAGUUACUGGCCUGAAAGUAAGUGUAUCCGGCUUCAUAAUGCUAAUGUGACACCCCUGCGCUUAACCUGGGAAUUGCAUUCAAUACUGGGACAGCUAGAGUCUGACAAAGGAAAGAGCAAUUCCACAUUGAAUCGCGUGAAAUGUCUAUGAUCUCUGUACCAACACCAAAGCCUGACGCGCCUUCCUGGAUCAAGACUGACGCUGAGGCUCGAAAGAGUGGGGAUGAAACAGGAUUACAUACCGUGGUAGUCCACGCCCUAAACGAUGUCAACUAGACGUUGGCCCCAUUAAAGGGGUUAGUGUCGAAGCUAACGCGUUAAGCUGUCCGCCUGGGGAGUGCGGCCGCAAGCUUGAAACUCAAAGGAAUUGACGGGGGCCCGCACACGCGGCGGAGCACGUCGUCUAAUUCGAUGCAACGCGAAGAGCCUUACCAGCCCUCGACAUCCUCGGAACUUAGUAGAGAUACAUCUGGUGCCUUCGGGAAUCGAGUGACAGGUGCUGCAUGGCGGUCGUCAGCUCGUGUCGUGAGAUGGUGGGUUAAGUCCCGCAACGAGCGCAACCCUUGUCCCUAGUCGCCAGCACUUCGCGUGGGAACUCCUAGGGAGACUCCCGGUGAUAAACCGGACGAAGGUCGGGAUGACGUCACGUCAUCAUGGCCCUUAUGGCCUGGCCUACACACGUGCUACAAUGGCCGGUACAGAGGGCCGCAAUCCCGCGAGGGGGAGCCAAUCCCACAAAGCCGAUCUUAGUCCGGACUACGCACGUCUGCAAACUCCGACGUGCCGUGAAGAUCGGUAAUCGCGUAGCAAUCGCAGAAUCAGACAAUGUCGCGGAGAAUACGUUCUCCGGCCCU